This 274-nucleotide ribosomal RNA is filed under the name uncultured bacterium. Its description in RNAcentral is "partial 16S ribosomal RNA". It matches the Rfam family "Bacterial small subunit ribosomal RNA", at positions 523 to 796 of the family's 1533-position model. The record is from RNAcentral.
AUACGGAGGUUGCGAGCGUUAAUCGGAAUUACUGGGCGUAAAGCGUGCGUAGGCGGUUUGCUAAGUCAGAUGUGAAAGCCCCGGGCUUAACCUGGGAACUGCAUUUGAUACUGGCAGACUAGAGUAUGAUAGAGGGGGGUAGAAUUCCUGGUGUAGCGGUGAAAUGCGUAGAUAUCAGGAGGAAUACCAGUGGCGAAGGCGGCCCCCUGGAUCAAUACUGACGCUGAGGUACGAAAGCGUGGGGAGCGAACAGGAUUAGAAACCCUAGUAGUCC